RNAcentral lists this ribosomal RNA (839 nucleotides) under Pseudarthrobacter sp. RNAcentral describes it as "bacterial SSU rRNA". It matches the Rfam family "Bacterial small subunit ribosomal RNA", at positions 598 to 1427 of the family's 1533-position model. The record is from RNAcentral. Lineage: Bacteria; Bacillati; Actinomycetota; Actinomycetes; Micrococcales; Micrococcaceae.
AAGUCCGGGGCUCAACUCCGGAGCUGCGGUGGGUACGGGCAGACUAGAGUGAUGUAGGGGAGACUGGAAUUUCCUGGUGUAGCGGUGAAAUGCGCAGAUAUCAGGAGGAACACCGAUGGCGAAGGCAGGUCUCUGGGCAUUAACUGACGCUGAGGAGCGAAAGCAUGGGGAGCGAACAGGAUUAGAUACCCUGGUAGUCCAUGCCGUAAACGUUGGGCACUAGGUGUGGGGGACAUUCCACGUUUUCCGCGCCGUAGCUAACGCAUUAAGUGCCCCGCCUGGGGAGUACGGCCGCAAGGCUAAAACUCAAAGGAAUUGACGGGGGCCCGCACAAGCGGCGGAGCAUGCGGAUUAAUUCGAUGCAACGCGAAGAACCUUACCAAGGCUUGACAUGGACCGGACCGCCGCAGAAAUGUGGUUUCCCCUUUGGGGCUGGUUUACAGGUGGUGCAUGGUUGUCGUCAGCUCGUGUCGUGAGAUGUUGGGUUAAGUCCCGCAACGAGCGCAACCCUCGUUCUAUGUUGCCAGCACGUGAUGGUGGGGACUCAUAGGAGACUGCCGGGGUCAACUCGGAGGAAGGUGGGGACGACGUCAAAUCAUCAUGCCCCUUAUGUCUUGGGCUUCACGCAUGCUACAAUGGCCUGGUACAAAGGGUUGCGAUACUGUGAGGUGGAGCUAAUCUCCAAAAAACCCGGUCUCAGUUCGGAUUGGGGUCUGCAACUCGACCUCCAUGAAGUCGGAGUCGCUAGUAAUCGCAGAUCAGCAACGCUGCGGUGAAUACGUUCCCGGGGCCUUGUACACACCGCCCGUCAAGUCACGAAAGUUGGUAACACCCGAAGC